This 433-nucleotide unclassified non-coding RNA is filed under the name soil metagenome. RNAcentral describes it as "partial contains 5.8S ribosomal RNA, internal transcribed spacer 2, and large subunit ribosomal RNA". The stretch from base 1 to 120 matches the Rfam family "5.8S ribosomal RNA", at positions 35 to 154 of the family's 154-position model. The record is from RNAcentral.
GAUGAAGAACGUAGCGAAAUGCGAUACGUAAUGGGAAUUGCAGAAUUCAGUGAAUCAUCGAAUCUUUGAACGCAUAUUGCGCUCUCUGGUAUUCCGGAGAGCAUGCUUGUUUGAGUAUCAGUAAACACCUCAACUUCCAUAUCUUUUUUGAAAUGGGAGUUGGACUUGAGUGAUCCCAACGCUUUUCCUCACCGAAAAGCGGCGGGUUACUUGAAAUGCAGGUGCAGCUGGACUUUUCUCUGAGCUAUAAGCAUAUCUAUUUAGUCUGCCUAAAAAACAGAUUAUUACCUUUGCUGCAGCUAACAUAAAGGAGAUUAGUUCUUGUGCUGACUGAUGCAGGAUUCACAAAGACAGGCUUCGGCCGACUUUGUAAACUCGAUCUCAAAUCAAGUAAGACUACCCGCUGAACUUAAGCAUAUCAAUAAGCGGAGGA